RNA transcript from Salvelinus namaycush (lake trout), 5519 nucleotides. It is a transcript of the gene named SH3 domain-binding glutamic acid-rich protein-like, with no coding region annotated. The record is from RefSeq and is a predicted model, not a curated record. Lineage: Eukaryota; Metazoa; Chordata; Actinopteri; Salmoniformes; Salmonidae. The transcript has 10 exons.
UGAUGGAGGGUUUGGGGACAAAAAUAGCCUCAGUGGUGUGGCUUGUGUUCGCAGAGUAAUGUCCUGGGUACGCUAUACUAUUAAGGGAGGCAGCCUGUAUCUUUAAUAACCCACGUUAGUACCUCAUUCUACAGAACACGUCGUAACAAAAUGGUUAUAAAAGUAUUUCUAGCUUCUUCAUCAGGAUCGACAGCGAUCAAAAAGAAGCAACAGGAUGUGCUUGGGUUCCUGGAGGCCCUGAAAGUGGAUUACGCUCCAUUGGACAUUGCCUGCAAUGAGGACAACCGCAUGUGGAUGAGGGAAAAUGUCCCUGUGGAGAAAAAGCCCACCAACGGGAUCCCCCUACCCCCUCAGAUCUUCAAUGAAGAGAGCUACUGUGGGGACUACGAGACAUUCUUUGACGCUAAAGAAGACAAUGCAGUGUUUGCCUUCCUGGGUCUGCCACCUCCUCCAGGAUCCAAGGAAGCGAAAGAGGCUGAAAAGGCAUUUAUCCUUGAGAAUGGGCCUGUUGAAAAUGGGACUGUUGAGAAUGAGACCGUUGAGAACGGAACUGAUGAUGCUGAGGAUGAAGAGAACCUUGAAGCUGAGGAGGUUGAGGAGGAGAACCUUGAUGAUGACUCACUAAAAAGAGAGGUUCCGAUGGAGGAGUUCAAUGGAGAUGAACACACAGAUGAGGUGGAAGCAGAGGUGGGAGGAGAAACAGGAGAGGAGGCAGCAGAAGAGGCCGCAGAAGAAGACGCCGCCGCAGAAGAGAAGGUGGCAAAGGAGGAGGAGGAGGAGGUGGUCGAAAACACAGAGGAAGCCGCAGAAGACACUGUAAUUGGCUCCCAGAAUCCCGUGCUGUGGCAUCUCCUCUCCUCCAUCUCUUUAAUAUGGUCUUUUCCUCUACCUCAGGGUUUUGUUUCCCUCGAGCUCUUGUUGUCUUAUUCUCCUUCUCAACUCUGGACCAUACUAACCCACCCCACUGUUAUAUUGACUGUCCCAUAACUGUUUCAAUUGACUGUUCUGUAGCUGUUUCUAUUGACUGUUCUAUUAUUCUUUCGAUCUGUUGGAUGUUUAACCACUUUUCUGUUCUGGAGCAGUUAACUGUAAUCUCUUUGUUGGCUGUUUUGUAUUUCUGUUUUAAUUGACUCCAUUUGCAGCCUUUGUGUCGUCAUUGUUCUUGAUUUUCCUUGAUAUGUACUAUGUUCUUUGUUCCACAUCAAUGUCUAGGUGUGUAUGUAUAGUAUGUCAAAAAUCAAAUCAAAUUUUAUUGGUCACAUACACAUGGUUAGCAGAUGUUAAUGCAAGUGUAGCGAAAUACUUGUGCUUCUAGUUCCGACCAUGCAGUAAUACACAUACACAUACAUGUGUCUCCAUGUCUAGGUGUGUAUGUGUAGUAUGUGUCUCCAUGUCUAGGUGUGUAUGUGUAGUUCUACUGUCCAUCCAUGUCUAGGUGUGUAUGUGUAGUUCUACUGUCCAUCCAUGUCUAGGUGUGUAUGUGUAGUUCUACUGUCCAUCCAUGUCUAGGUGUGUAUGUGUAGUUCUACUGUCCAUCCAUGUCUAGGUGUGUAUGUGUAGUUCUACUGUCCAUCCAUGUCUAGGUGUGUAUGUGUAGUUCUACUGUCCAUCCAUGUCUAGGUGUGUAUGUGUAGUUCUACUGUCCAUCCAUGUCUAGGUAUGUAUGUGUAGUUCUACUGUCCAUCCAUGUCUAGGUGUGUAUGUGCAGUUCUACUGUCCAUCCAUGUCUAGGUGUGUAUGUGUAGUUCUACUGUCCAUCCAUGUCUAGGUGUGUAUGUGUAGUUCUACUGUCCAUCCAUGUCUAGGUGUGUAUGUGUAGUUCUACUGUCCAUCCAUGUCUAGGUGUGUAAGUGUUGGUGGGGGUCCUCUGGAAAUCCCAACAUGUUCUUCAAUGUGCCUGAUCUGUGAGAUCUGUUCAAGUUGCACAACCUCCCAUGUAUAAGUGUCUCAUUCAAGUUUGAGGAGAGGUUCUCUGUUUCCCAUAUGCCUCCUUGAGGUCAUGCUUUCAUUGUAAAGAUACUGAUACACAAUUUUUUCUAUUUUCUCCUUUUUCUGUCAGAAGGCCCCCGUGAAGCAGGAAGAAGCCCAGGAAGAAGUAGAGGAUGAGGAGGCUAAGGUAACAGGCGACACUGUCCACCGGAGUAAUGACUGAUAUGAAGGGCAUUGUCAUUAAUAACAACAGCCACUGCUCUCUGUAUUGUGCCAUCUGCCCCACUAAAAAACGCUCUUAGCCUGGAUCCAAUAGACCUGACACAUGGUUCCAUACUACAGUACAUUGCACCUUUAUUUAACUUUAAUAUUCUGGAAUAAAGUAAAUUAUUAUCUUGUAUAUAUUUUAGUCAUUCAACUAUUCUCAACAAAGCAUAUACAUGUAGGUCUAAAAGGGAAAUAAGCAUGUUAGGUCUAAGUUUUCCUGGCCAUAGUCACUGAUUAUAAAUCAGUACUAUGAAGUUUCUCUGCCAAUGCCCAGGCCCAGCUAUGUCUGCUAGCCAUUGUAACAAAACAUGAUUACGUCAUACAUGCUUAAUAACAUGCUAUCUGUAUACACUUGCAAAGUUUCCCAACUCAACAGCAGCUUAAUUCAUUAAUAAAUGUUUUUAUUGUGACUUGAAAGCUGUAUUGAGAAUGGUAAAUGUUAUAUGAAGGCAAAAGCCUGACUGAUCAGAAAAGGUCAAAUAUCACAUUCUUUUAAUGUCUCAUACCACUGUUGUGUUCUGUUGGGUUCAGAAGUGCCUCAGAAGCGAUUGCUGGUAUUGUGCAAUGCUGGUAUUGAAUACAAUGUGCUGUGGCACAAACAAACAGACGCAGAGUAAACCAAGACGUGUUCGUGUUACCCAGGGCACUGUUGUUCUCUACAGAGUGAACCACUAUAAACUCGUUAUUGAUAAGAUAUAAAGUUAUAUGCUAUUGAAUAAGUUCAACUGAAUAUAUCCAUCAGUAUUUAUGUGCAAUGUGUCAAUAGAUAUCAAAGCACUUGUGAUGUUAUUGGAUUGUAGUAAUAAUCAAUUUGUUAAAAUCUCUAUUUCCUAGUUCCAGUAACCUGGUGAAAGCUAGCGAGUUGAUCCAAAGCUAAUCACUGCUAUUCGUUGUUUUAGGGAGAAGACGAUCACCCGGUUUCUGAGGUAGAUCUACUUUGAAUGUUCUAUAGCUGUAGUGUUCAGUCCUUAAAUCGUAUUCAUUAUAUACUGUAGUGCCAAUGUCUGUGCUAAGGGCCUUGGGUGUUCAGUUUUAAUGUGUUUGUUUGCAUCCUUGUGAUUGUGAUCUAUAUCCGACAUCCAGACAACUAUCCUCACAUUCUUCUUUGUUGUAGCUUUUCUUGUGCAAUGUUGAAUGCUUGAAACCCCUCUUCCUUCGAAGUCCCAUGACUUACAACUCCAGAUCCAUUAUUGUUGUUUUUGCCCCCGUCCCAUUUUCCACAGGUCUGCUGUGGAGGGAUUGCUGUAUGUUCGGAUGCAUUUCAUCUUAAUCCUUGACACAGUUUUAGAACACUACUGAUUUGUUCUAUGACAUGCCACCUUAGAGAUAUAAUCAUUAGAUACCCUAGUCAAUAACAUUCAUAUUUGUCAUUUGAUAAGAUAUUUUUAUGAUUGUAUUUAGAAAUAUAUCAUGCUCGUUUAGCUGCUACUCUGUUUAGUGUCUACAUUGAAAGAUAUCUUGUAUAAGUAGUUAAAACAGAUACAGUAACAAGGAUUGUACGUCUAAAUAAAUCCAAUAAAGUCACAUAAAGAUAAUUACGUUUAUCUAAAUAUUUUAGGGCUCCAGCUUGGUUCAUGUUGAAUCAUGCAUGUAAAGCUAUUUGCAAGAGGGUCUCCUCCAGCAUCUCCUUGUACCUCCUCCACACAUUGACCCCUCCCCCCUUUGCCCUUUCCCCCAUCUCUUGGUUUGGUUUUCCAGGGAGAAGAGGAUUUGGGGUCGGAGGUAACUGGGUGUCUGCGGCUGUGAAUUUAUCCGGUUGUUCCCUUAGUCACCAGCUGUGUGGGUUUGUCUGGCAGAGAUCAGAAGGCUUUGUGUGAUCUAUCUGCCGUUUGCCCCUCAUCCGUAGCCUGUGUUCACUCCCUCCGAACCUCUGUCUGUCUGUCUCCCCUCUCUUUUAGCCUUCUUCCUCAUUUCUUCCCUAGUCCUGUAGCUGCUUCCUUCCUGCCAGCCUGAACUAUCCCUGUAGAUUCCAUUAAAAAAAUAACGGACUUUUCCUAUAGCGCAUGCCUCUGGUGUCACUUCUGACCUCUCCAUUCACACCACUGACACUUAAUCUCAUUCUUUCUAGGAGGAAGAAGAGCUGCGACAGCUUGAGGAAGAAGAAGAGGCCCCCGAGGUAUAUUCUGGCUGUGCUCCCAGCCCAUUGCAUGGUGUGGCCCCUGACGUGGAGUAAAUGGAUCUUAUGCAUGACGCUACUCCUUCAUAUGUGGAUUUAGUGAAGAAGAGGACGAGUAGUUACAGCCAGGAAAGGUUUAGGAUGUGAUUUACUACUGCCCAGCCUCGAGAGACCCCUUGUUCCGAUCCUUCCUGACCCCCCCUGACCCCUCAGACCGUCCCACACCCAUCCCACUACCCACGAUGCCCCCACCUGCUCACUGGGAAUGCACAUGUCUCCCUGCUGGACCCUGCUGGCUGAAACCUGCCAAUCCCACACUGUCUGUACGGCCUACCUAUACUCCAGAGAUAACCCCCUGUUUUACCAGAUGUUUAUAUUGCGUAGGGGACUAGGACUAGAGAAGAUGUGUUGCUGUACUUCAUUUGUAUAACGUUGUUAGUUUAUGGUAGCUUCCAUCCAGUGUGUAGCUCAAUUACAUAGUGUUAUCAGUUUGUUUUAUUCAGCAGCUUUUCUAAUUGUACAUACACAGUCAUAUGUUAAGCGUUUUAAAGAUUUCAAACAUACUUCUCAUGUUUCAAAUUGAAAAUGGUAGUUUUAUACCACAGUUUGUAUAGGAUGAUGAGCAUGUCACCAACAACAACUUAGCAGUCAAUGACAGACAGCUAUAAACCUGUGAGUAUCUGAGUGAAGAUCACUCUACUAUGAACUGCAACCAGUGAAUGGACUUAUAAUCUCAGCCUGAAACAGAUCUAUCAAUGCAGUGCCUCUCACUUGAUGCCAGCAAAGAUGUUAGAUCUAUAUGUGUGAAUGCAACCCAGUGACUCUAUGUCUCAAUCCAACAUGAGAAAGACCCUUGUGUAGUGUUUCCACUAGCUUUCAUAGCCACAAAGUCAGAUUCCACAAAUUGCUUUUGGUCUUACUUUAAGGUUAGGGUUAAGCAUAAGGUUAGCAGUGUGGUUGGGUUGGGUAAAAUAUUAAUUGUAGAAAUGGGCGGGGUUUAACCAUAAUUAUGACUUUGUGGCUGUGACAAUCCUCAUGUAGCGUGCUUUAUGACUGUGUUUGCAGCUACUGGACACCAUUCACUGAACGUUACUAUCUGCUGAUCUACUGUGCACUUUGUUGAAUGUAAAAUUAUGUGGAUGACUAAGAGAUCCCCCUAGAUGUAAGAGAAGUGAAAUGCCAAUAAAGUUGAAUGGUGUGAACAGCU